RNAcentral lists this ribosomal RNA (668 nucleotides) under uncultured bacterium. Its description in RNAcentral is "bacterial SSU rRNA". It matches the Rfam family "Bacterial small subunit ribosomal RNA", at positions 371 to 1033 of the family's 1533-position model. The record is from RNAcentral.
ACAGGGGCACCUGAUCAUCAAUGCCGCGUGUGUGAAGAAGGCCUUCGGGUUGUAAAGCACUUUUGUCAGGAACGAAACGGUGGGGGCUAAUACCUUCUGCUAAUGACGGUACCUGAAGAAUAAGCACCGGCUAACUACGUGCCAGCAGCCGCGGUAAUACGUAGGGUGCGAGCGUUAAUCGGAAUUACUGGGCGUAAAGCGUGCGCAGGCGGUUGUGCAAGACAGAUGUGAAAUCCCCGGGCUUAACCUGGGAAUGGCAUUUGUGACUGCACGGCUAGAGUGUGUCAGAGGGGGGUAGAAUUCCACGUGUAGCAGUGAAAUGCGUAGAUAUGUGGAGGAAUACCGAUGGCGAAGGCAGCCCCCUGGGAUAACACUGACGCUCAUGCACGAAAGCGUGGGGAGCAAACAGGAUUAGAUACCCUGGUAGUCCACGCCCUAAACGAUGUCAACUAGUUGUCGGGUCUUAAUUGACUUGGUAACGCAGCUAACGCGUGAAGUUGACCGCCUGGGGAGUACGGUCGCAAGAUUAAAACUCAAAGGAAUUGACGGGGACCCGCACAAGCGGUGGAUGAUGUGGAUUAAUUCGAUGCAACGCGAAAAACCUUACCUACCCUUGACAUGUCUGGAAUCCUGAAGAGAUUUGGGAGUGCUCGAAAGAGAGCCAGAAC